GAUGAACGCUGGCGGCGUGCCUAAUACAUGCAAGUCGAGCGAACAGACGAGGAGCUUGCUCCUUUGACGUUAGCGGCGGACGGGUGAGUAACACGUAGGUAACCUACCUAUAAGACUGGGAUAACUUCGGGAAACCGGAGCUACUACCGGAUAAUAUUUCGAACCGCAUUGUUCGAUAGUGAAAGAUGGCUUUGCUAUCACUUAUAGAUGGACCUGCGCCGUAUUAGCUAGUUGGUAGGGUAACGGCUUACCAAGGCAACGAUACGUAGCCGACCUGAAAGGGUGAUCGGCCACACUGGAACUGAGACACGGUCGAGACUCCUACGGGAGGCAGCAGUAGGGAAUCUUCCGCAAUGGGCGAAAGCCUGACGGAGCAACGCCGCGGGAGUGAUGAAGGUCCUCGGAUCGUAAAACUCUGUUAUUAGGGAAGAACAAACGUGUAAGUAACUGUGCACGUCUUGACGGUACCGAAUCAGAAAGCCACGGCUAACUACGUG
Molecule: ribosomal RNA, 497 nt
Filed under: uncultured bacterium
Lineage: Bacteria
Description: partial 16S ribosomal RNA
Rfam family: Bacterial small subunit ribosomal RNA
Source: RNAcentral